GGAAGGGCUGAGCUGGAGGCAGAGCCUGGUGUGGGACCGGGAGGCUGCGGUGGUUCACGGCGCUGUUGUUGCAGCCACCCAUUUAUGACACCGGUGGCGAGGCGGUGGCGUGUGCUGUGCUCUGAGACAACGCGUGCGAUUCAGACUAUCCUUGUUACCGGCUCUAGUCACUCAUCCAGGACUGCAUGAAAUGGGGACUGCAAUGGGGAAAAAUGUCAGCUUUUCUGCAAGCCAAGAAGGGCUCCGUGGCAUAUCUAUAUUUACUCAUGCAAAGACGUGAAGACUGCCCAAGAGUCAGUGUUUGUAAGUGCUUCCCAGAGCGACUGUGGCUGGGAGAGGCCAGGGUGGGAGCAGCCGCAGCAUCUACCAGCAGUGCUCUCACAGUGACCCCUGCUGGGUCUGCGUCCAAAGCUCCCCUGCCUCCACGAACAACCCAGAAGCUCUGACUGCAGCUCAGAUUUCGUGCUCUUGAAUGCUUGCUUCUUUUCCAGAACAGUUA
Molecule: long non-coding RNA, 499 nt
Organism: Cygnus olor (mute swan)
Lineage: Eukaryota; Metazoa; Chordata; Aves; Anseriformes; Anatidae
Exons: 3
Source: RefSeq, a predicted model, not a curated record